AGAGUUUGAUCCUGGCUCAGAAUGAACGUUGGCGGCGUGGAUUAGGCAUGCAAGUCGAGCGAGAACCGUAGCAAUACGGGGACAGCGGCGCAAGGGACAGUAAUGUGUAGAUCAUCUGCCCUCAGGACCGGGAUAGCUGCGGGAAACUGCAGGUAAUACCGGAUAACAUCUCCGGAUCAAAGGUGUGAUUCCGCCUGAGGAUGAGUCUACAUCCUAUUAGCUAGUUGGUAGGGUAACGGCCUACCAAGGCGAUGAUGGGUAGCGGGUGUGAGAGCACGACCCGCGUCAUUGGGACUGAGACACUGCCCAGACACCUACGGGUGGCUGCAGUCGAGAAUCUUCGGCAAUGGGCGCAAGCCUGACCGAGCGACGCCGCGUGUGGGAUGAAGGCCUUCGGGUUGUAAACCACUGUUAGAGGGGAUGAAAUGCAGGUGGGUUCUCCCAUUUGUUUGACAUAGCC
RNAcentral lists this ribosomal RNA (460 nucleotides) under uncultured Planctomycetota bacterium. RNAcentral's name for it is "bacterial SSU rRNA". It matches the Rfam family "Bacterial small subunit ribosomal RNA", at positions 8 to 479 of the family's 1533-position model. The record is from RNAcentral. Lineage: Bacteria; Pseudomonadati; Planctomycetota.